RNAcentral lists this ribosomal RNA (431 nucleotides) under Moggridgea crudeni. RNAcentral's name for it is "partial 16S ribosomal RNA". It matches the Rfam family "Bacterial large subunit ribosomal RNA", at positions 1831 to 2600 of the family's 2925-position model. The record is from RNAcentral. Lineage: Eukaryota; Metazoa; Arthropoda; Arachnida; Araneae; Migidae.
UUCUAAUUGAAUUCAUUAUUAGUAUGGCCUGCUCAAUGAAUAAUUGAAUAGCCGCAGAUUUUUCUGUGCUAAGGUAGCAAAAUCAUUUGCCUUUUAAUUGAAGGCUAGAAUGAAAGGUUGAACAUGUAAUUUACUUUAUUAAAUAGAUUUCUAAAACUUAUUUUUCAAGUAAAAAACCUUGAAUUUAAUAGAGGGACGACAAGACCCUAUCGAGCUUUACUAUUGUUUCACUGGGGAGGUGAAAUAAUUAUAACUUUUUUUAUUAAUUAACCUUAAUGAAAGAAUAAUGAACAAGUUACCGUAGGGAUAACAGCAUAAUUUUUCUUUAGAGACCUUAUCGUAAGAAAAGAUUGUGACCUCGAUGUUGAAUAAAUUAUCUAUUAAGAGCAAGAUCUUAACAAGAAAGUCUGUUCGACUUUUAAUUAUUUACA